Molecule: ribosomal RNA, 253 nt
Filed under: uncultured bacterium
Lineage: Bacteria
Description: partial 16S ribosomal RNA
Rfam family: Bacterial small subunit ribosomal RNA
Source: RNAcentral
UACAGAGACUGCGAGCGUUAUUCGGAUUCACUGGGCGUAAAGGGUGCGCAGGUGGCCAAGUGUGUUAGGCGUGAAAGCCCGGGGCUUAACCCCGGAAUUGCACCUAAAACUACUUGGCUAGAGCAUUGGAGAGGGGAGCAGAAUUUAUGGUGUAGCAGUGAAAUGCGUAGAUAUCGAGAGGAACACCUGCGGCGAAGGCGGGUUGCUGGGCUGACACUGACGCUGAAGCGCGAAAGCUAGGGGAGCGAACGGG